This 429-nucleotide ribosomal RNA is filed under the name Acidobacteriota bacterium. Its description in RNAcentral is "Acidobacteria bacterium partial 16S ribosomal RNA". It matches the Rfam family "Bacterial small subunit ribosomal RNA", at positions 355 to 776 of the family's 1533-position model. The record is from RNAcentral. Lineage: Bacteria; Pseudomonadati; Acidobacteriota.
UGGGGAAUUUUGGACAAUGGGGGAAACCCUGAUCAAGCCAUCCCGCGUGUGCGAUGAAGGCCUUCGGGUUGUAAAGCACUUUUGGCAGGAAAGAAACGACAUGGGUUAAUAUCCCGUGAAACUGACGGUACCUGCAGAAUAAGCACCGGCUAACUACGUGCCAGCAGCCGCGGUAAUACGUAGGGUGCAAGCGUUAAUCGGAAUUACUGGGCGUAAAGCGUGCGCAGGCGGUUCGGAAAGAAAGAUGUGAAAUCCCAGAGCUCAACUUUGGAACUGCAUUUUUAACUGCCGGGCUAGAGUGUGUCAGAGGGAGGUGGAAUUCCGCGUGUAGCAGUGAAAUGCGUAGAUAUGCGGAGGAACACCGAUGGCGAAGGCAGCCUCCUGGGAUAACACUGACGCUCAUGCACGAAAGCGUGUGGAGCAAACAGG